Molecule: long non-coding RNA, 382 nt
Filed under: Homo sapiens (human)
Lineage: Eukaryota; Metazoa; Chordata; Mammalia; Primates; Hominidae
Description: non-protein coding lnc-GPR37-3:1
Source: RNAcentral
AAAUUCAAACUUGGAGCUAUGAGUAGUUAAAACUUCUUGAAUAUAUUGGAUACAUGGGUUUUCCACCACGUGUGUGGUCAAAUCCACCAUGUUUAUGGAUUUGAUUCAAUUUUUCUUAGAUAUCAGUGAAUAAAGUGAUCCUGGCAUGCUUCCACUAUACUUUUAUGUGAAAAAGCUCCAUAAAUUACAAAAAUCAUACUAUUGGCUAUCUUUUGUCCCCAGAGAAAAAAGGUAAACAAAAUGGACUGGAAAAAAUGGCCCCAUAUAAAAGGGAGCCAAGCCAUGGAACGACAUUAUUGUUCUAAGCCUCUAUGGUUUGGAGUAGUUUAUUAUGCAAUAGUAGAUAACUAAUACAAACUUCAUUUUACAUAUAAAAACAUUU